RNAcentral lists this ribosomal RNA (442 nucleotides) under uncultured bacterium. RNAcentral's name for it is "bacterial SSU rRNA". It matches the Rfam family "Bacterial small subunit ribosomal RNA", at positions 958 to 1398 of the family's 1533-position model. The record is from RNAcentral.
AACGCGAAGAACCUUACCUGGGCUCGAACGGCUUCGGACCAUCCUUGGAAACAGGGACUUCCCGCAAGGGACUGGAGUCGAGGUGCUGCAUGGCUGUCGUCAGCUCGUGUCGUGAGAUGUUGGGUUAAGUCCCGCAACGAGCGCAACCCUUGUCCUGUGUUGGCAUGCCGUAAGGCGCAACUCUCAGGAGACCGCCAGCGAUAAGUUGGAGGAAGGUGGGGAUGACGUCAAGUCAUCAUGGCCUUUAUGUCCAGGGCCACACACGUGCUACAAUGGGCGGUACAAAGCGCUGCCAACCCGCGAGGGGGAGCUAAUCGCCAAAAACCGUCCUCAGUUCGGAUUGCAGGCUGAAACUCGCCUGCUUGAAGUCGGAAUCGCUAGUAACGGUGAGUCAGCACAUCACCGUGAACUACGUUCCCGGGCCUUGUACACACCGCUAGUC